GAUACAGUUAUGACUGUCUUUGAAAUCCAACUUCUCUGGGUCUUUUCUUGUCUUGCAGGCAUUAAUGUUUCGAAAUCGCAUGUCGCUAAAUGUUGCCAAAAUGGAGCUCCUGGUGAUUGUCUCCUUAAAUUUACUGAGAAAUGCCAGUCAUAUUCUUCUGGCCUUUGGUGACCUUCAGUUCUAUUUCAAACAGAAUCAUUCCUGCACCUAGGAAGCCUCAGAAAAGCUGCCUUCACAUGCUCCAUUUGCACUCAACAUGAUCUUUUCUGUUUUAAGUCACUUGCCAAGUAGACAGAAAUGUGUUCACAAGCUAUCCGAUCUGAUCACCAGAAGAUUAUAUGAAGAUGAUGCCUGCUGUAUUACAAGAAAAGUGGACUAACUAAAGAAAAUCUGACUUUAGUUUAGAAGGAUGAAAAUUCAAUUACUUUCCAGAAAUCAGUGAUUCUGUAUUUUUCCUCAAAGUUUAGGUGCUGUUAGUCUGAAGAGAAAUUAGCAAGACAAAUUCAUGUCCACAGAUUCAGUGAAUGCACAAAACACAACAAAGCACCUGUGGUAACAAAAAAGUGAAUUUCAAUUAGUGCCUUAAGACACAGUUUAAUACUCUUUUUUGCAUUAAAUACUGGAUAUACUUCAUGAGCUACAUAAUUAGAAUAACAUGCAUAUUUGCUUAACCUUUCUUCACUCGGGAUAUAUGGUUAGGAAUCUUUGAGGAUAUCCUGGUUAGUAAUUAGCAUCUCAUUAUAUGUUACUAUUGUAGUAGGAAUACUAUUACCAAAUCCUUCAUCAAUCUCUGCUGUGAUGCCUGGAAAAUAGGAAAAUAGUUAACUGAUUCCAGAUAAACCUGACAAAAGGAUCCUUCUCAAUUAUGUUGGGCCAACUUCUGUCAGAGUAUAUUGGAAUUGUUUGUGAUGUUCCCCGGUGUGGUCUACUUUGGCUUGGCUGCUCUUUGGUAUUUACCUUCCACCUCAUGGACAGACAUUUGCAAAAUAUUUCAUUGGCUGUUGUUACGCAGAUGAUGCCCAGUGAUUCCACAUGAUUCUCUGGAUUUUGGGGAGGAUAUAUAGUACUAAUUGAUAACUGCCUACCCUCUGUGUAGGCGGGACUAGAAACAUUGAUGCUUGCAGUACACUUGCUCAGUUUCAACUUUUUUCUUUUCUAAAGUUUGACCUUAAUUUCUCCAAAUUUUAUUGUUGUUAUGACUAGAAAUACCAGAAAUACUUGGAUGAUAAGAGAUAAUGAGCAGUUUGCUGAAAUUAGGAGAAUUGGUGACCUGCUAGGGAUUAAUAGGGUGAUCCACUAGGAGUCACUAUGAAUUAUGUGCUUUGUUUAAGUUCGCUGUAAAAGAUUAAGCAAAAAAAUACACUUUGGAGUAGUCCAAGGUAGCUUUUCUUUGGGCAAGGAGCUGACACCUAAACUCCCCAGCAGAUGCUACCUUGGGGGACCCCUGGAAGCCUGGCUGCUGAUAACUUGAAACCAUCUCAGACUUUGGGUAACUAUAAUGUUUGGGGUGCUCAGAACCUACUGCUACAGCAUAUGUGUGUGUGUGUGUGUUUGAGACCUAAUAAAAGAGUAGUUUUAGUAAAAGCACUCUAGUUUGUACCAAUCAUUUAUCAGAUGGAGGAGGUGUGUCUCUCCAGGAGGUGUCAGGAAUAAAUCAAUAGGGAAACAGUGAAGUUACCACUGCUUUGGGUUCUGAAAACCCUGGGUAACAGAGUUGGUGAACUAGCUAGGAGUGGUGGAGAGAAGGGUACGAUUGGUACAAACAGUUUACUGUGCAAGAGGGGAGAAUGGCGAGAUAGUGUAGUCCAUGAGUCAAUUUAUGGAUGCAUUCUGUUACUGGGACCCAAGGCUCAGGCUUGUGCCUGGUCAAGUGAGAAAUUAUGUCAGUUGUUUUAUUCUUGGCACUGAUGUGCUGGAUAGAAAAGAAAAUUGAUUGGUUGCAAAACCCCUGCUCUUGCAAACCAUGGGUGCUCCCCAAGGGAACUUACAUGAGGGGCAGAAUCAGGAGAUGAAAACUGAGAGUGCCAGUGAGAAGAUUAUUGCUUGGUCUCGGUUGAGAGCGAUGAGCCCAUGCUGGGCCUCAUUAGUAACCCACUGAACUCAUUGUGAGUUGGGGAGACAGAGCUCUUUUGGCCCCAGGGCCACAGUAGGAGCUGACAGUGCUUCUCCAGCCAUGGGGCUGCAAUGGGAAGAGAGCUCCUC
Long non-coding RNA from Chrysemys picta bellii (western painted turtle), 2202 nucleotides. RefSeq lists it as uncharacterized. The record is from RefSeq and is a predicted model, not a curated record. Lineage: Eukaryota; Metazoa; Chordata; Testudines; Emydidae.